GCAUGAUAUUUUCUGAAGGAGAUUUAACUUCUUCAUUUUAUUUUUUUUGGUCCUGGUUUCCACGAAAGCCUUCAGCCUUGGCUCCGGCUGACCAGGGUUCUAGUCCAAACUUGGCCAUCAACUCGUGAUGCAUUUAGGCAAACCAUUCGUUCUCUCUGGGACUCUUCAUUUCCCAUCUGCAGAUGAGUGUUCUGAACUGGGUGAUGGCCAGGUUCAGCUCAAACUGCAUGUGACCCUACUUGACUUUGAACCCUGUGAAUAAUCUAAAGCUGAAUUAAAGUUGGAAGGAGGAGGGGUUCUCUCAGUGUGUUUGUUCCCUUGUUUAUUGAUUGGCUUUAAAAAAAAUUCAGGAGAGCGGUGCCUGGGUGGCUCAGUCGGUUGGGUGUCUGACUUCGGCUCAGGUCAUGAUCUCACAAUUCGUGGGUGCAAGCCCCACAGCAGCCUCUGUGCUGCCAGCACAGAGCCAGCUUCUGGUUCUCUGUCUCCCUCUCUUCUGCCCCUCACCUGCUCAUUCUUGUUCUCCCUCUCUCAAAGAAAAACAAACAUUAAUUUUUUUUUUUUUUUUUUAAUUUCAGGAGAAGGCAUUUUCCAUGAAAAAUCAACACACCAUGUCUUGGGAGAGCUGGGGAUCCUACCUGGCACCUUGUGGGAAACACUUCAGGCCUGGAUGAAAGAAGAAGGAAGACGGGGCCAAAAUGAAGUCAGGAGGAACAGAGAUGCUGCAAGCCAGAGGACACAUCACUCUAAAAGGCUUUAUAGAGAAGGCUGAGUACGGAUGGAAAAUUUAUGCCUGGAAGGAUGUUACCAUACAGAAAAGAUUUGGGGGUACGUAAGAAUUGGUAGAAAUUCUUUCUCAGCUGGAAAUUCUGGCCCAAGGUUUCCAAAGCAAGCAUAAUUUUGUAGACUUCAGCUUUUAUGAAUUACCGUGAGGGCUGAUACUGCCUUAUGUCAAAUUUCUUAAGUAGAGGAAUGUCUCUUAAUUAAUCAUUAAAAAAAAAUAAAAGAAUAAAGCCAGAAGAAAAUUACA
This 1027-nucleotide long non-coding RNA is filed under the name Felis catus (domestic cat). RNAcentral describes it as "lncRNA (ENSFCAG00000040496.2)". The record is from RNAcentral. Lineage: Eukaryota; Metazoa; Chordata; Mammalia; Carnivora; Felidae.